RNAcentral lists this unclassified non-coding RNA (699 nucleotides) under Hevea brasiliensis (rubber tree). The record is from RNAcentral. Lineage: Eukaryota; Viridiplantae; Streptophyta; Magnoliopsida; Malpighiales; Euphorbiaceae.
AAUUUUAACUUUAAAUAGUUGAAUGAAAAUAUAAUAAAGAAUUUCUCUAAAGCUAAAAAUUGCGUAGUUUUAUGCCCUUGGUUUAGGUUAUAUUAAUCUUAACUCAUAUUAUACUAGUUGAUUUGUUAUUAUUUUAUAAUUUAGAUGAAAAUAUUAUAUGACUUAUUAUGUAUAAGAUCGAGCGCUUACCACCAUACUAAAAGUUUAAACUUUUAGCAUAGGUGUAACUCUAACCCUUUAUAGCGUAGUAACCCAAGCGCCAUAGGUCGAAGGAAUCUGGGCAGGAUGUUGAUCUACUGAGUUAUCCCCAUUUAAUGCCAAUAAUCUACCCCUAGCACCUGCCAAAGAUUCAAACCUAUUACUUUGGCUGUGAUACCAAUUGUAUGAUCAAACACUUAAUACCGUGCCAAAAGCUUAAACUUUUAACAGAAACACAACUCUAAUCCCUUAUAACGUAAUAAACUAAAUGCUAUAGGUCAAAAGAACUUAGGCAGGAUGCUGGUCCACUGAGUUAUCCCCAUUCAGUGCUAACAUUAUGGAUAUUUGGUGUUAUCUCGUAUUUUUAUGUGAGAAUUGUUAGUUUAAUUUAAGUAUAUAUCUUGAGUAAGUUAUUAUGUUUAUGUUACUAUAUUGAUAUUUUAUUUUGAUAUAAGUAUUAUUAUUUUAAUAUUACUGUUAUUAUUUUUAUUGAUAUUUUAA